This 253-nucleotide ribosomal RNA is filed under the name uncultured bacterium. Its description in RNAcentral is "partial 16S ribosomal RNA". It matches the Rfam family "Bacterial small subunit ribosomal RNA", at positions 524 to 776 of the family's 1533-position model. The record is from RNAcentral.
GACGUAGGGCGCGAGCGUUGUCCGGAUUUAUUGGGCGUAAAGAGCUCGUAGGCGGCUCGUUGCGUCGGCUGUGAAAACCCGCAGCUCAACUGUGGGCUUGCAGCCGAUACGGGCGGGCUGGGAUUCGGUAGGGGAGACUGGAAUUCAUGGUGUAGCAGUGAAAUGCGUAGAGAUCAUGAGGAAGACCAGUGGCGAAGGCGGGUCUCUGGACAGUUCCUGACACUGAGGCACGAAGGCCAGGGGAGCAAACGGG